AAAGGAGAGAUCCGGCAUAGGAUGGACAUGCGUCGCAUUAGGUAGACGGCGGGGUAACGGCCCACCGUGCCGACGAUGCGUAGGGGUUCUGAGAGGAAGGCCCCCCACACUGGUACUGAGGCACGGACCAGACUCCUACGGGAGGCAGCAGUGAGGAAUAUUGGUCAAUGGCCGAGAGGCUGAACCAGCCAAGUCGCGUGAGGGAAGAAUGUCCUAAGGAUUGUAAACCUCUUUUGUCGGGGAGCAAAAAGGCUCUGCGGAGUCGUAUUGAGAGUACCCGAAGAAAAAGCAUCGGCUAACUCCGUGCCAGCAGCCGCGGUAAUACGGAGGAUGCGAGCGUUAUCCGGAUUUAUUGGGUUUAAAGGGUGCGCAGGCGGCGUGUCAAGCAAGCGGUAAAAUAGCGGGGCUCAACCCCGUCGAGCCGUUUGAACUGGCGCGCUUGAGUUCAGGCGAGGUAGGCGGAAUUCGUGGUGUAGCGGUGAAAUGCAUAGAUAUCACGAAGAACUCCGAUUGCGAAGGCAGCUUACCAGUCUGCGACUGACGCUCAGGCACGAAAGUGUGGGUAUCGAACAGGAUUAGAUACCCUGGUAGUCCACACAGUAAACGAUGAGCGCUAGGUGUCCGGGUCGCAUGAGACUUGG
Molecule: ribosomal RNA, 641 nt
Filed under: uncultured bacterium
Lineage: Bacteria
Description: bacterial SSU rRNA
Rfam family: Bacterial small subunit ribosomal RNA
Source: RNAcentral